UACGAAGGGGGCUAGCGUUGCUCGGAAUUACCGGGCGUAAAGGGAGCGUAGGCGGAUAGUUCAGUCAGAGGUGAAAGCCCAGGGCUCAACCUUGGAAUUGCCUUUGAUACUGGCUGUCUUGAGUAUGGGAGAGGUUAGCGGAACUCCGAGUGUAGAGGUGAAAUUCGUAGAUAUUCGGAAGAACACCAGUGGCGAAGGCGGCUAACUGGCCCAUUACUGACGCUGAGGCUCGAAAGCGUGGGGAGCAAACAGG
This 253-nucleotide ribosomal RNA is filed under the name uncultured bacterium. RNAcentral describes it as "partial 16S ribosomal RNA". It matches the Rfam family "Bacterial small subunit ribosomal RNA", at positions 524 to 776 of the family's 1533-position model. The record is from RNAcentral.